AAAGUCGUAACAAGGUUUCCGUAGGUGAACCUGCGGAAGGAUCAUUAUCGUGGGGCUUCGGCCCCGUCGAGAUAGCACCCUUGCCUUUAUGAGUACCUUGGUUCCCUCCCCCGUACCCUCGGGGAGCGGGAGGGACCUCGUCUGUUUCCCCGCGGCGGCGAGAGCCCCCGGGGACCGCAAAAACACGCUGUAAACACCUGUAACCGUCUGAUAAACAAACAAAAAAAAAAUCAAAACUUUCAACAACGGAUCUCUUGGUUCUG
Molecule: unclassified non-coding RNA, 263 nt
Filed under: Ascomycota sp.
Lineage: Eukaryota; Fungi; Ascomycota
Description: partial contains small subunit ribosomal RNA, internal transcribed spacer 1, and 5.8S ribosomal RNA
Rfam family: Eukaryotic small subunit ribosomal RNA (bases 1-47)
Source: RNAcentral